UGAAGAACUUUAGGGGGCUCUUCCCAUGUUGAAGAAGCAUGCCAUUGUCCUCUCCAGCACCAAGAGUCUUUGCUUCCCUCAUACUUUUAGAAGUGAUUUCAACACCCCCUACAAGUGAAGGAAAGUGGGGCUCUGUGAGCCUGAGCUCCUCUUAUUUCUGAGGGUUUUUUCCUCCCCCAAAUUCCCCAAAUUGGAUAAGGUAAAGGUGUACUUUUGCUUCCUUUUUGGUAUUAUUAGUUCUUUUUCCAUGACAGAAGAAACUUUGUGAUAUGAACACAGUACUUAAGGAAAACAUGUUUUGGAUUAAUAGAUUAUUUUACAAGGAUAAUGAUCUAAAAUUAUCCUCGCUAUGGUCAUCACCUUUCAAUGCAAGCCCUAAGUUCCAGCCACCUUAAACCUUGACUUUUGCUCACUGCUUCCCUGUUUGGAACAUACCUGUCUCAUUUCCCCACCUGAGUGACUCUCCCUUGUCCUCUGAGACACAUGUGAAGAGGACUCCACACACACCAGAGAGCUCUUUUCUCUAUCCAUGCUGGAAUAGUAACUUCAGUCAAAACAUCCUGAACUUUGCUCUCACAGUGCUGGGGCAGGAGAAAUACAACACAAGCCAUAAAAUCAAGCUUCAUAUGUAACUUUACAUUUUCUAAUUUUAUAUCUCCUAACAGCCAGAUUUUUAAACCUUAAAAAGCAAAAGGUGAAAAUAAUUUUAAUGAUAUAUUUUAUUUUACCCAAUGUAUCAAAAUAUUACCAUUUCUAUAGGUGAUCAUAUGAAUGUUGUUAGUUAGACUGCGGGGGGGGGGGGGGUAGGCGGGGAGGGUUCCAAAUCUUCAACAUCCAGUAUGUAAUUAUAUUUACAGCACAUCUCAAUUCAGGACAUCUCAAUUACAUUCAGCUCGCCACAUUUCAAGCGCUCAAGAGCUACACAAGACUAGCGGCUACCAUUUUGGACAACUCGUCUCUCGGUGGCAGUCUGUGUCACUUGACCAGCACCAAUAGGCAAUCAGAACACAUUUAUAGAAAUUCAGCAGAGGAUAUGCUAAAUUUCAGAAGCUCAAACAGAAAGACCUUUGAAUAGGUUUGGAACUGCACAGAUGAAAUGCGGAAGUGAAUAUACAAAGAGGAAGUAAACAGAACUGCCAAUAUGUGUGAGAAGUAAAAGCUUCUUGAAAUUUUGUUAUGAAGGCCACCGAGAAGAGUUAGCUAUUGGAUGACCUUCACCCAUUGAAGACUCUGAAUAUCUCUGCUUUUCAAGUAGUUUUCUGUAUCUACGGACACCAUCCGAGCUGGAAUUAAUAGCCUGAACAUAGGCAUGAUUUAAUCAAAAUGUCCUUGGUGCCUAGUCCAGCAUUUCAAUUUAAGAAUUGAAAUCCAGUUUCUGCAUUUUAAAAAUCAAAUCCAUUCUCCACGGAGAAUUUUUACAAAACAUCUUGGCACCUGCAAUGCUGAAAAUAGAUCCAGCCCUAUUUAAGAGAAAGUAACAGCAAAUCGGGGAUUUGUGUGAUGGCAGUAAAAUGCAGUUAAGUGUGGUCGUGCCAGGUUUUAGUCUAGAGACAGAGGGUUUUUAUAGCACAUUAUAAACUCCUGAAACGGGAGGUUA
RNAcentral lists this long non-coding RNA (1597 nucleotides) under Felis catus (domestic cat). Its description in RNAcentral is "lncRNA (ENSFCAG00000050670.1)". The record is from RNAcentral. Lineage: Eukaryota; Metazoa; Chordata; Mammalia; Carnivora; Felidae.